Mizuhopecten yessoensis (Yesso scallop) is the source of this 556-nucleotide long non-coding RNA. RefSeq lists it as uncharacterized. The transcript has 2 exons. The record is from RefSeq and is a predicted model, not a curated record. Lineage: Eukaryota; Metazoa; Mollusca; Bivalvia; Pectinida; Pectinidae.
CUUUAUUAACUACACUAUAAUAGCGUCGUGUCCAUACUAGGAGCUGACAAUUCUGGGUCGUGGACCCCAACAGGGUACUGUGUUACUUAUCCCCAUGCCCAUUAACAGGACUAUAGCCAGUCCUAGCUGUUGUUUAGUUUGAUUUGUUAGCAUUAUCUGGCACUGAUAUUCCCACGUUAUCCUCCUAACUCUUAGAAAUCAACACAUAUAUCGCAUAUUGGGGCGUGCAAAGCUUACGCAUCCUGGUGAUGCGAGGUCGGGUGCAUUUGUGUCAGAGAGUUAUAUGUCUGUUUAAGUGUCCUUAAGAAAAGACGAGCCCCAAUCCGGAAGUAUGUGUAUGGACUUCAGACGACCAGCUACAGUAAAGUAAGCGUGUAGACAAUUGUGAUCACACAGAUAUAUUUCCAGUGUCUACAAUGUUCAGAGAUACAGUGCUGUGGUGUAUAGCGAUUGUUACCAUUGUCUGGAUCACACUCACCUCAGGAGAACCGUGUGCCCACGAUGUCCGCCUGAUACAGAACCAAACUGGAUACUACGUCACAUGGUCAAGUCUGGG